AGUCGAACGAUGAAGCUGGAGCUUGCUCUGGUGGAUUAGUGGCGAACGGGUGAGUAACACGUGAGUAACCUGCCCUUGACUCUGGGAUAAGCGUUGGAAACGACGUCUAAUACCGGAUACGAGCUUCAGCCGCAUGGCUAGGAGCUGGAAAGAAUUUCGGUCAAGGAUGGACUCGCGGCCUAUCAGCUUGUUGGUGAGGUAAUGGCUCACCAAGGCGACGACGGGUAGCCGGCCUGAGAGGGUGACCGGCCACACUGGGACUGAGACACGGCCCAGACUCCUACGGGAGGCAGCAGUGGGGAAUAUUGCACAAUGGGCGCAAGCCUGAUGCAGCAACGCCGCGUGAGGGACGACGGCCUUCGGGUUGUAAACCUCUUUUAGCAGGGAAGAAGCGAAAGUGACGGUACCUGCAGAAAAAGCACCGGCUAACUACGUGCCAGCAGCCGCGGUAAUACGUAGGGUGCAAGCGUUGUCCGGAAUUAUUGGGCGUAAAGAGCUCGUAGGCGGUUUGUCGCGUCUGCUGUGAAAACGCGAGGCUCAACCUCGCGCCUGCAGUGGGUACGGGCAGACUAGAGUGCGGUAGGGGAGAUUGGAAUUCCUGGUGUAGCGGUGGAAUGCGCAGAUAUCAGGAGGAACACCGAUGGCGAAGGCAGAUCUCUGGGCCGUAACUGACGCUGAGGAGCGAAAGCGUGGGGAGCGAACAGGAUUAGAUACCCUGGUAGUCCACGCCGUAAACGUUGGGAACUAGAUGUAGGGACCAUUCCACGGUUUCUGUGUCGCAGCUAACGCAUUAAGUUCCCCGCCUGGGGAGUACGGUCGCA
This 821-nucleotide ribosomal RNA is filed under the name Microcella sp. Its description in RNAcentral is "bacterial SSU rRNA". It matches the Rfam family "Bacterial small subunit ribosomal RNA", at positions 60 to 890 of the family's 1533-position model. Lineage: Bacteria; Bacillati; Actinomycetota; Actinomycetes; Micrococcales; Microbacteriaceae. The record is from RNAcentral.